AUGGAGAACGCGCACACAAAGACAGUGGAGGAGGUGCUGGGCCACUUCGGCGUCAACGAGAGCACAGGGCUGAGCCUGGAGCAGGUCAAGAAGCUCAAGGAGAGAUGGGGCUCCAACGAGUUACCGGCUGAAGAAGGAAAAACCUUGCUGGAACUAGUGAUUGAGCAGUUUGAAGAUUUACUAGUUAGAAUUUUAUUGCUGGCAGCAUGUAUAUCUUUUGUUUUGGCUUGGUUUGAAGAAGGUGAAGAAACCAUUACAGCCUUUGUAGAACCUUUUGUAAUUCUACUUAUAUUAGUAGCCAAUGCAAUUGUGGGUGUAUGGCAGGAAAGAAAUGCUGAAAAUGCAAUUGAAGCCCUAAAGGAGUAUGAGCCUGAAAUGGGCAAAGUGUAUCGACAGGACAGAAAGAGUGUACAGCGGAUUAAAGCUAAAGAUAUAGUUCCUGGUGAUAUUGUAGAAAUUGCUGUUGGUGACAAAGUUCCUGCUGAUAUAAGAUUAACUUCCAUCAAGUCUACGACUCUAAGAGUCGACCAGUCCAUUCUCACUGGUGAAUCUGUUUCAGUCAUCAAGCACACUGACCCUGUCCCUGACCCACGGGCUGUCAACCAAGAUAAGAAGAACAUGCUCUUUUCUGGUACAAACAUUGCUGCUGGGAAAGCCAUGGGAGUGGUGGUGGCAACUGGAGUUAACACUGAAAUCGGCAAGAUCCGAGAUGAAAUGGUGGCCACAGAACAGGAGAGAACACCUCUUCAGCAGAAACUGGAUGAGUUUGGCGAACAGCUUUCCAAAGUCAUCUCUCUCAUUUGCAUUGCAGUCUGGAUCAUAAACAUUGGGCACUUUAAUGAUCCAGUGCACGGGGGCUCCUGGAUCCGAGGUGCUAUCUACUACUUUAAGAUUGCAGUGGCGCUGGCUGUUGCAGCCAUCCCUGAGGGUCUGCCCGCUGUCAUCACCACCUGCCUGGCCCUUGGAACUCGCAGAAUGGCAAAGAAAAAUGCUAUUGUUCGAAGUCUUCCGUCUGUGGAAACCCUUGGUUGUACUUCUGUUAUCUGUUCGGACAAGACUGGUACACUUACUACGAAUCAGAUGUCAGUCUGCAGGAUGUUCAUUCUGGACAAAGUUGAAGGUGACACUUGUUCCCUUAAUGAGUUCACCAUAACUGGCUCAACGUAUGCACCCAUUGGAGAAGUGCAUAAAGAUGAUAAGCCAAUAAAAUGUCAUCAAUAUGAUGGGCUUGUAGAAUUAGCAACCAUUUGUGCUCUUUGUAAUGACUCUGCUUUGGAUUACAAUGAGGCGAAAGGUGUAUAUGAAAAAGUUGGAGAAGCUACAGAGACUGCUCUCACUUGCCUGGUAGAGAAGAUGAAUGUAUUUGAUACCGAAUUGAAGGCUCUUUCUAAAAUAGAACGCGCAAAUGCCUGCAACUCGGUCAUUAAACAGCUAAUGAAAAAGGAAUUUACUUUAGAGUUUUCACGUGAUAGGAAAUCAAUGUCUGUCUACUGCACACCAAACAAACCGAGUCGGACAUCCAUGAGCAAGAUGUUUGUGAAGGGUGCUCCAGAAGGUGUCAUCGACAGGUGUACCCACAUUCGAGUUGGGAGUACCAAGGUCCCCAUGACCCCUGGAGUGAAACAGAAGAUCAUGUCUGUCAUUCGGGAGUGGGGCAGUGGCAGUGAUACGCUGCGGUGCCUGGCCCUGGCCACUCACGACAACCCACUUCGAAGAGAAGAGAUGCAUCUGGAGGACUCUGCCAACUUCAUCAAAUAUGAGACCAACUUGACUUUCGUUGGCUGUGUGGGCAUGCUGGACCCUCCCAGGAUCGAAGUGGCCUCCUCUGUGAAGCUGUGUCGGCAGGCAGGCAUUCGAGUCAUCAUGAUCACGGGGGACAACAAGGGCACCGCCGUGGCCAUCUGUCGCCGCAUCGGUAUCUUUGGCCAGGAUGAGGAUGUGGCGUCAAAGGCUUUUACAGGUCGGGAGUUUGAUGAACUCAGUCCCCCAGCUCAGAGAGAUGCCUGCUUGAAUGCCCGCUGUUUCGCUAGAGUCGAACCUUCUCACAAGUCUAAGAUCGUGGAGUUCCUUCAGUCUUUCGAUGAGAUCACAGCUAUGACUGGUGAUGGUGUGAAUGACGCUCCUGCUCUGAAGAAAGCUGAGAUUGGCAUUGCUAUGGGUUCUGGCACUGCAGUGGCUAAAACUGCCUCCGAGAUGGUCCUGGCAGAUGACAACUUCUCCACCAUCGUGGCUGCCGUGGAGGAGGGACGGGCCAUCUACAACAACAUGAAGCAGUUCAUCCGCUACCUCAUCUCGUCUAAUGUGGGGGAGGUUGUCUGCAUUUUCCUGACAGCAGCCCUUGGGUUUCCCGAGGCUUUAAUUCCUGUACAGCUCCUCUGGGUCAAUCUGGUCACAGAUGGCCUGCCUGCCACUGCGCUGGGCUUCAACCCUCCUGAUCUGGACAUCAUGAACAAACCACCCCGGAAUCCAAAGGAACCACUGAUCAGCGGUUGGCUCUUUUUCCGUUACCUGGCUAUUGGCUGUUAUGUUGGUGCCGCGACUGUGGGUGCUGCUGCAUGGUGGUUCAUCGCUGCCGAUGGUGGUCCCAGAGUGUCCUUCUACCAGCUGAGUCAUUUUCUACAGUGUAAAGAGGACAACCCAGACUUUGCAGGAGUAGAUUGUGCCAUCUUUGAGUCCCCAUACCCGAUGACAAUGGCCCUGUCUGUUCUAGUAACCAUAGAGAUGUGUAACGCCCUCAACAGCCUAUCUGAAAACCAGUCCUUGCUGAGGAUGCCCCCAUGGGAGAACAUCUGGCUCGUGGGGUCCAUCUGCCUAUCAAUGUCCCUCCACUUCCUGAUCCUCUACGUGGAGCCUUUGCCACUCAUCUUCCAGAUCACACCGCUGAACGUGACCCAGUGGCUGAUGGUGCUGAAAAUCUCCCUGCCUGUGAUUCUCAUGGAUGAGACGCUCAAGUUUGUGGCCCGCAACUACCUGGAACCUGGUAAAGAGUGUGUGCAGCCUCCCACCAAAUCCUGCUCGUUUUCGGCAUGCACCGAUGGGAUUUCCUGGCCGUUUGUGCUGCUCAUAAUGCCCCUGGUUGUCUGGGUCUAUAGCACAGACACUAACUUUAGUGAUAUGUUCUGGUCUUGACUGACAGUUCUCCAUCCAGAAGAUGUCUAACUUAAUUUUUUAUUGUUUAAAGCAACUGUCUAUUUCUGCUGAAUUUUCACAUGAACAUAUUGGCUGGUGAAGGAGGUUUCAUACUCUACAUUUUGUUUUGCUUUUUCUGACUCCAGUGGGGCUCAAGAUUUUCCUUUUUUAUACACAUAAUUAAAGUGUCCAUUGACAUGUACAGAGAACUAACACUAUUUUAUGCAAAUAUUUUUUUGUAGAUGAAAAAGCAUGUACAGUGUUCUGUUUAAUACUCAUCCUUGUAUAAAAAAUAGUUGAGCCAGCAGACAUUGUCAGCAAAUUAAUUGGCAGCAGAUUUUAGGAAAUGAAUGUGUGUGGUUUCUAAGAAAAACUAAAUAGCAUGUAUUAUCUUUUGCAUGAUUACCUGGAUUUAAUUUGAGAUCACAGUCUAAUUAUUCAUAAGCCAAUUUUUCUGCACUGAGCAGAGUCCGCUACCUCAGUCAGUAUUUUUGGUUGGCCACUCCCUCACCACCUGCCUCCACUCAACCCCGCUGCCUGCCCCACUCGGCUUCUUAGGGUCUCUAGGGUCUCGGUUCUAUUGACACCGUCUUCGGAGGUAUGCCUGUCUCACUUGUGCAGAAAACAUUGUUCCAGAUUCGGUCAACUGGGGUCGUGUCCCACAUAGUUUUUAAGGUUAUUUAUUUAAAUGUCUAAUGGACUUUAUUGUAACAGACAUUGUUUUGCCAACAUCGCCUAUUUCAGUGGCACUUCACAAUCUAGUUUUAAAAGAAAAAUAAAACAUUUUAAAUGGACAGAAAAAUAACUGUCUUGUUCUUAAGUGGCUUAUCUUGAACUAUCUCAUAGAUAGUCCAUCUUUCUCUUAAGUUGUUUCAGAACUUUAGUUUACUGUGCUUGAGGGCAAGAGGGGUCCUGUUCUGCUGCAUAGGUAGUCGUGGAAAUGUGACUGACAACGUGUGGGUGCACACUGUCAUCUGUCAUGCACAUUUUAUGCAAGUCUCUGCUGGCCUGCGUGUAGCCUGGAAUGUAAGGGAAGUGUGUGUGUCUGUGGGUGUGUGUGUUUUGUAAAAUCUGUAAAUAGCCCAUGACCAAAUGAACAUAUUGUAUAGAACUAUUUUUAUUUGAAUGUGGCACUAACCACCACCAUUAUCUGAGAAGUUUGCGCAUGUUCAAGCUCAGUCUUACAGCAGCGUAUGAGUCAUUAACAGUCCUAACUGUGGUGUUUUCCUCCAAUGCCUUCCAUCAUCCAUCAACUAACCAAUACUGGAGUAACCGCUUCCUAAACCGUUUUGCAGAAAUGUAAGGGUGUUCGGUUCGGUUGCGUGCAUGUGCGUUUUUAGCAACACAUCUACUAGCCUCUGCAUGACUCAUGUUGGGGAAAAGGAAAAGUAGACAGGGUUCCCAGCUCAUUGUGUGUAAUGUGGAGGAAAUGUGUAUUACCAAUGGGGUUUUUAGCUUUUAAAUCAAAAUAAUACUUACAGAUGUACAAUUUAAUGAAAUCAGAAAGCCUUUCCAGAGAAGUUUGGUUUCUUUGCUGCAAGAAGAAUGAGGUUCUGCAACCUUAUCCACGAGCCUAGAAGCAUCAGCCAAGUCUCCGCAUUUCUCUGCAGAUGUCUUAGCUUCUCUAAAUGUACAAUGCUUGGCUGUAAUGCAUGCCUCCGGUGUAAGUAGCCAGAUUUCCCUGCAGUGACACUGAGACCUGCUACUUUUUAAUUGGCCCUGUACAGUUUGCUUAUUUAUAAAUUCAUUUAAAACACUUUACAGGUGUUGAGUGGUUAAAAUGUAGGUCUCAGUUCAUAACCUGUUACUUUUGAGUGUGCAUAGACAGCUAUUUUGCACUGUAUUAAAUGUAACUUAUUUAAUGAAAUCUGAAGCAGUAGACAGAUGUUGGUGCAAUACAAAUAUUGUGAUGCAUUUAUCUUAAUCAGAUGCUAAGCGUCAAUUUAUCACAACGCAUGUUUGACUAGACUGUAAAUAAAGGUCGGUUUUUUCACUUCUGUGCUGGUAACAACAGGUGCUGCACAGAUGUGGUUUCCAGUAAAUAAAUCUAUUCUAUGAUAAAA
Heterocephalus glaber (naked mole-rat) is the source of this 5192-nucleotide non-coding RNA. The record is from RefSeq and is a predicted model, not a curated record. NCBI's taxonomy places the organism in Eukaryota, Metazoa, Chordata, Mammalia, Rodentia, Bathyergidae.